Molecule: ribosomal RNA, 498 nt
Filed under: uncultured bacterium
Lineage: Bacteria
Description: partial 16S ribosomal RNA
Rfam family: Bacterial small subunit ribosomal RNA
Source: RNAcentral
AUUGAACGCUGGCGGCAUGCCUUACACAUGCAAGUCGAACGGUAACAGGUCUUCGGAUGCUGACGAGUGGCGAACGGGUGAGUAAUACAUCGGAACGUGCCUAGUAGUGGGGGAUAACUACUCGAAAGAGUGGCUAAUACCGCAUGAGAUCUACGGAUGAAAGCAGGGGAUCGCAAGACCUUGUGCUACUAGAGCGGCCGAUGGCAGAUUAGGUAGUUGGUGGGAUAAAAGCUUACCAAGCCGACGAUCUGUAGCUGGUCUGAGAGGACGAGCAGCCACACCGGGACUGAGACACGGCCCAGACUCCUACGGGAGGCAGCAGUGGGGAAUUUUGGACAAUGGGCGCAAGCCUGAUCCAGCAAUGCCGCGUGCAGGAUGAAGGCCUUCGGGUUGUAAACUGCUUUUGUACGGAACGAAAAGCCCUGGGUUAAUACCCUGGGGUCAUGACGGUACCGUAAGAAUAAGCACCGGCUAACUACGUGCCAGCCGCCGCUGUAA